RNAcentral lists this unclassified non-coding RNA (347 nucleotides) under soil metagenome. RNAcentral describes it as "partial contains 5.8S ribosomal RNA, internal transcribed spacer 2, and large subunit ribosomal RNA". The stretch from base 1 to 117 matches the Rfam family "5.8S ribosomal RNA", at positions 38 to 154 of the family's 154-position model. The record is from RNAcentral.
GAAGAACGCAGCGAAAUGCGAUAAGUAAUGUGAAUUGCAGAAUUCAGUGAAUCAUCGAAUCUUUGAACGCACAUUGCGCCCGCCAGUAUUCUGGCGGGCAUGCCUGUUCGAGCGUCAUUUCAACCCUCAAGCCCAGCUUGGUGUUGGGGAUCGGCACAGGCGCCCUCGGGCGCCAGCCGUCCCCUAAAUCUAGUGGCGGUCCCGCUGCAGCCUCCUCUGCGUAGUAGUUUUCUCCUCGCAAGGGCAGCUCGGUGGCGACCUCGCCGUAAAACCCCCAACUUCUGAAAGGUUGACCUCGAAUCAGGUAGGAAUACCCGCUGAACUUAAGCAUAUCAAUAAGCGGAGGA